Urocitellus parryii (Arctic ground squirrel) is the source of this 791-nucleotide RNA transcript. It is a transcript of the gene named peptidylprolyl isomerase H, with no coding region annotated. Lineage: Eukaryota; Metazoa; Chordata; Mammalia; Rodentia; Sciuridae. The record is from RefSeq and is a predicted model, not a curated record.
UUCCGGGUCGGAGCCAUGGCGGUGGCAAAUUCAAGCCCUGUCAAUCCCGUGGUGUUCUUUGAUGUCAGCAUUGGCGGCCAGGAAGUUGGCCGCAUGAAGAUCGAGCUGUUUGCAGACGUUGUACCCAAGACAGCCGAGAACUUUAGGCAGUUCUGCACUGGAGAAUUCAGAAAAGAUGGGGUGCCAAUAGGAUACAAAGGGAGCACCUUUCACAGGGUUAUAAAGGAUUUCAUGAUUCAAGGUGGAGAUUUCGUUAAUGGAGAUGGUACCGGAGUUGCCAGUAUUUACCGGGGGCCAUUUGCAGAUGAAAAUUUUAAACUUAGACACUCAGCUCCAGGCCUUCUUUCCAUGGCAAACAGUGGUCCCAGUACAAAUGGCUGUCAGUUCUUUAUCACCUGCUCUAAGUGUGAUUGGCUGGAUGGGAAGCAUGUAGUGUUUGGAAAAAUCAUUGAUGGACUUCUUGUGAUGAGAAAGAUUGAGAAUGUUCCCACAGGCCCCAACAAUAAACCGAAACUGCCUGUGGUAAUUUCACAGUGUGGGGAGAUGUAGUCCAGACCAAGACUGAGUCAGCUACAAGCCUAGGCAGUGGUCCCACUUGAGUGCUUCCACAACACUUGCUUUCUCUAAAAUGUGCUGAUCAUUCCUUGCUCUGGAUGAUGUUCUUGAGUCAUAUAAGCUGGACUGGCCUCUGUGUUUGCACUCCUGCCUGCUGUGACCCUGUUUGAUCAAGAGAUCCUGGAAUAUCACAGAUUCAGAACUACAAUUGUCCGUGCUUAAAUUUUCAACUGUAA